CCUGGCUCAGGAUGAACGGCUGGGCGGCGUGCCUAACACAUGCAAGUCGAGCGGGGAAGCCGGAACAUGUAGAGAUAUAUGAGAAAGCAUCCCUAGCGGCGGACGGGUGAGUAACACGUAGAGGAACCUGCCUUACACAGGGGAAUAACACCGUGAAAACGGUGCUAAUACCGCAUAACACCGCACUAUGGCAUCAUAGGAGCGGUCAAAGGAGAAAUCCGGUGUAAGAUGGCCUCGCGCCCGAUUAGUUAGUUGGUGGGGUAAUGGCCUACCAAGACUGCGAUCGGUAGCCGGACUGGAGAGGUCGAACGGCCACAUUGGAACUGAGAGACGGUCCAGACUCCUACGGGAGGCAGCAGUGGGGAAUAUUGGGCAAAAUGGGGGAAACCCUGACCCAGCAACGCCGCGUGAAGGAAGAAGGCCUUCGGGUUGUAAACUUCUUUGAUCAGGGAAGAAACAAAUGACGGUACCUGAAAAACAAGCCACGGCUAACUACGUGCCAGCCGCGGC
RNAcentral lists this ribosomal RNA (510 nucleotides) under uncultured bacterium. RNAcentral describes it as "bacterial SSU rRNA". It matches the Rfam family "Bacterial small subunit ribosomal RNA", at positions 18 to 518 of the family's 1533-position model. The record is from RNAcentral.